Molecule: long non-coding RNA, 231 nt
Filed under: Homo sapiens (human)
Lineage: Eukaryota; Metazoa; Chordata; Mammalia; Primates; Hominidae
Description: HSALNT0406831
Source: RNAcentral
UGGAAACCAUCAUUCUCAGCAAACUCACACAAGAACAGAAACCCAAACACCACAUGUUCUCACUCAUAGGCCCCUAGCUCCUCUGAGGCACGGGAAUAUCCAGUUUCUUCUCCCCUCUGAAGAACCUGCCUGAUAACAACCAUAGUGCUUUAAAUGGCAUCUCCCAAAAGAUAAGUCCGUGCCCUUCUCCCUAAAACCUGGGAAGGUGACUUUAUUUAAAAAAAAAAAAAA